Molecule: long non-coding RNA, 2063 nt
Organism: Lemur catta (Ring-tailed lemur)
Lineage: Eukaryota; Metazoa; Chordata; Mammalia; Primates; Lemuridae
Exons: 2
Source: RefSeq, a predicted model, not a curated record
CUACCCCGUUGGGAUAGUGGUGGAUUUGGAUGUUGGAAUUCUGGUACAUGGAGGUGAGCGCCAUGCCGUGCUUCAGCUCGUCCGUCAGGACCCGCCUGCCCACCAUGUGGUAGCGAAGGGCGUUGAGCAGCUCGAUGUUGACGUUGCUGACCAGGGAGUCCAGCACUUCCUGCAAGGAAGGACAGGGUGACAGUCAGGAGCUGCAGACCCUGUGUUCAAGAGGCGGGUCCUGGCAACCGUGGGCAGCUUGCUCCCCAGCCCCUGGGCACCCAGGCCUCUCUUCUGCCACGGAUCCCCCCCAGGGAGGACCAAGGGCGGCCUGUCCAAGGUGGCAGAGGUGGCAUCUGCCCCAUCUGGUGAGGUGCAUUUUAACACAAGUGCCCUUUGAGGGCUUAAGGGAACAGCUUCCUGCAGCAGUGGGAAAUGGCUCCAGACUCCCGUUCUUCAUGCCCACCCCUCGGGGAGGCAGGCGGUCCCCCGCAAGAGUCCCCUGGGCAGAAGGAGGUCACUCACGGCAGGCAGGGAGGCCCAGGCCUCGUUGCUGGGGGCGAAGAUGGUGAAGCUGCCCGGGCCCUCCAUCUCAGGCCGCAGCUUCUCCGUGCGGUCCGUGUACAGCUGGGUGGUGGUCGAUCCAACGACGCCCAGGGUCUCGUAAAGGUUUGAGAGCGGCAGGGCUGCAGGGGCAGAGGACAGAGGGAGGGGUGGGCCGCUGGGGGUCCAGCCCAGCCAGGCCAGCCCAGCCCUUCUCUGCCAGAGUGCCGGUGCCCCCCCGCCAGGUGCAAAGCCUGGAGACAGUCUGACGCCGGGGAGCCGAAAGCUCGCUCCAUGCUUCUUAAAAUGACUCAGCAAGUUACUUGCCUCUGUGAACUCAACUAAUUGGGAAUUUUUAUCAUUUCAAACACAGCAGCGCAAAGCUAGUGUUCCUAGAUAUUUAGAUAAUACAGGCAGGAAUAUACAGAAAUAGAUAAUCCUAAUCACAAACUAGUCUUGCAGAUUUACCUAGUUAUUGAAACUGGUUCCCUGAUGGCCUCUACUGGAAUAAAAGAAGUUUAUAAAUCUUCAAAGUACCGUGAAUAUUUGCAGUUAAUAAAAUGUUAUUUCUUAAAAGUAGCCCGAGGUUUAGAAGGGCUUUCUCAGACAGGCAGUUGAACGUUCACUGUGCAGGGUCUGGAACUGGGAUGCAGAGGCUGAGCUCCUCUUCCAGGCUCAUCUCCUUUUCCCACCCCAGUCCCUGCCUGUCCUUGCACUUGAGUCUGUACGGCCACAGCCCUGCCCGGGCCGACCACGCCCUCCCUGUGACCUUGGCACCAACCAAAUUGCCCCCCUCCUUUUUAAGUCUCAGUCUCACAUUCUUAACUGAAAAAACAGCAGAUGGAGGUGGGCAGCGAGCACACAGGGAGAACGCCAGCACCUCCCCACGCCACUGACUGCUGUCACACGCCACUCCUGCUCCUCUCUCCCACCUCUCCCCUCCGUCCACGCCCGCACGCCGGGCCUGGCUUAUUCACCUGCUGGACAGCCCUUCUCUCCGGGGACCUUUUCAUAUCCAGGACAGCACUCGUAGCUGAUGACUCUGGAAUGAGACCAACACACCAAGGAGCUUCUCACCCCUCCUCAGCUUCGUAGAAUGUUCCUGAUGGUUACCAACACCUACAGCAAACCAGCUGGGACAACAAAGGACUCUGGCAGCAUAUUCAAAGUUGUGAUUAACCAACAUCACUCACCGAGACUUGAUCUCCAACGUUACACAGGGGAGCCCAGCAGUUAGCACUCCUGAAAUGGAGCAGGGAGGAGCAGAAACAGCCCUGCACCCGUCCUGGCUCUGAGUCUGCUGCCAACUAGCUGGGGCAUCCCCAGCCAGCUCUGUCGCCUCUCUGGGCCUCAGUCUCCCCAUCUGUAAAAUGCAUGUGUGUACCCUGCAAUGGUCAUGGGAUUCAAUCUCUCGUGGCCUUCCAGCUUUCUGAUUUCAUAACCAAAAAGGGCAGCGUAUAUAUGACCAUCGGGUUUUUCCCAGUCUUCACAAACUUUAAACAUUAAAAUAAAAACAAAGCUCCUCUUAUGAA